RNAcentral lists this small nuclear RNA (117 nucleotides) under Diaphorina citri (Asian citrus psyllid). RNAcentral describes it as "U5 spliceosomal RNA". It matches the Rfam family "U5 spliceosomal RNA". From Rfam's summary of the family: U5 RNA is a component of both types of known spliceosome. The record is from Rfam by way of RNAcentral. Lineage: Eukaryota; Metazoa; Arthropoda; Insecta; Hemiptera; Psyllidae.
CAACUCUGGCUUCCCUUCAGAACGCAUAAAUCUUUCGCCUUUUACUAAAGAUUUCCGUGGAGGGGAGCAAUUGAUGAGUCUAACUCAAUUUUUCGUGCUCUUGGCUUCGGUCGAGAC